UAGGGAAUCUUCCGCAAUGGGCGAAAGCCUGACGGAGCAACGUCGCGUGAGUGAUGAAGGUCUUCGGAUCGUAAAACUCUGUUAUUAGGGAAGAACAAAUGUGUAAGUAACUAUGCACGUCUUGACGGUACCUAAUCAGAAAGCCACGGCUAACUACGUGCCAGCAGCCGCGGUAAUACGUAGGUGGCAAGCGUUAUCCGGAAUUAUUGGGCGUAAAGCGCGCGUAGGCGGUUUUUUAAGUCUGAUGUGAAAGCCCAGGGCUCAACCGUGGAGGGUCAUUGGAAACUGGAAAACUUGAGUGCCGAAGAGGAAAGUGGAAUUCCAUGUGUAGCGGUUAAAUGCGCAGAGAUAUGGAGGAACACCAGUGGCGAAGGCGACUUUCUGGUCUGUAACUGACGCUGAUGUGCAAAAGCGUGGGGAUCAAACAGG
This 429-nucleotide ribosomal RNA is filed under the name Actinomycetes bacterium. RNAcentral's name for it is "Actinobacteria bacterium partial 16S ribosomal RNA". It matches the Rfam family "Bacterial small subunit ribosomal RNA", at positions 355 to 776 of the family's 1533-position model. The record is from RNAcentral. Lineage: Bacteria; Bacillati; Actinomycetota; Actinomycetes.